UAUACUCUCUCCAGUUCAUUGCCAACAUCUGUCUUCGGCAUUCAACAAUAGUUGAAAAGUACAAUAAAUGCAUUUUGUCUGUUUUUUCAGAUGUUUCACAUUCACUAGACUACACUGUACUGCCACUGAUAGCAUCUGUGGAACAGAGACUGAAAUGUUUUUCACUUCUUCCGUGGGGAGCCAAUUUAAAAUCCUUCCAAUGACUUGCGAAGACUGCAUGAGAAAUACCACCUCUCAUUCAUCACCAGCCAGGCUGCCAGGAGGGCAUUUGAGACGGCCACAAAGAGGCUCACAGAUGCACAGGAGAGCAUCGUGGCGGAUUAUCUGGCCCACUCAGAUGGUACUGCAGAGAAACACUAGAGGAUGCUGACACAUGACAACAUCUGCUCAGCCAUUGAAGUCAUUGAAGGUGUUGCAGAGGAGGGAGCUCAAUCAACACCAACAUCCGCUGUGGCAGCUGCAGGAUCUGGAAAUCCGAAGAUGGAUGAUGCCACAGCCUUCCAGGAGCUGACACGGGAGUUUCCAGUGUCGUUAGAUGGGCAGCUUCCCAGAAAGAAAGAGCGCCUGAGACUGACUGGAAGUCAUGACUGACACUGUUACGACAGGUGGAGAUCAGAUCAGAGGAAAAUGAGACUGCAGAACAUUAUUGACCAUUACGCUAGACUGUUACCAACAGAAGUCCAGGUGACCCACUAUUUUCAAAGCAUGGGCUGGACUGCAAAUACACCAACAGCGUCUGAAGUGCUUGAGAAGUGGAAGCCCAACACAGAUGCACAACCAAAUGAAAGGCAAGUUAAAAAGAUGGAAAGCAUCAAACCUGGAGAGGCCUGAGUAUCACUGACGAUCCAGUGAAGGGGAAGAAGGUUGUGACUUCCAGGCGUUUCCAGAAAGGAGAGGUGGUGUGUGAUUACCAUGGCGAGGUCAUCGCAAAGACAGCUGCAGAAGCCCUAAAGGCACAGAUGGCAGAGGGAGAGAUGAGAUGUCUGUUCUUUUUUGAUGGACCUACACAAAA
Lepisosteus oculatus (spotted gar) is the source of this 1012-nucleotide non-coding RNA. The record is from RefSeq and is a predicted model, not a curated record. Lineage: Eukaryota; Metazoa; Chordata; Actinopteri; Semionotiformes; Lepisosteidae.